AUCUCCAAAAGUGUCUACAGUGUUUUCUAUGGUGGUCUAGGGUUUUAACUCGACCUCAACAUCAAGGCCGCACUACAUCAGAUGAUCAGCAUCAUGCUUCUCUAUGUCUUUUGAUCAGUCUUGUAUUUAUCUCUGUAUCCUUUGUUCAUAUUUCUGUUCAUGUGUCUCGUUGUUGAUCCAUUGUUGGAUCUGAUCCAGUGUUGGAUCUUGUAAUUUGGUGAUUUCAACUGAUAUUCUUUUCGGUUGAUCUUGUAUUUUGUAUUUGUGAUUUAGAUCUUACAUAAGUAAGAUCUAGGGUUUCGGUUGGGUGUUUUUGGUUUGGGUUAACUAAUAAAAGUUUUACGUCACCGUUUUGUCGCUUCUCUUGUGUUUCGUAUUGUUUCUUGUGUUGUGUGUUGAGAAAUCAUACCAUUUGACAUGGUAUCAGAGCUUGCUCUGAUCGAUUAUCAUCGAUUGAUAGAUUUUGGUUCUUCCGCUGGUUUGGUACGUUUCGCUACUUGGAAUUGUUUGUUUUGAAUCCCAGAGAUUUGGUCAUAUUUGGUUCAUCACACAUCUGGCAUGAUUGAUAUGUUGGUGUUAGGGUUUCGAUUAAAACCCUAGUUGUCUUUGUUCUUGACUGGCGAUCUUGGUGCAUUCAUAUUUGUAGAAGUUCUUACAUCAGGUAUAGGAUCUUGUUACAACGGAUUGGUAUUCUUACCUCUAUAAGCGCUUUCUGUUAGGCAUUCUGUUAGGCAUUCUAUGACUCUGCACUUCUUAAUGUUUACAAGAUGAUCAAGAGUUAGUUUUCAGAAUGUGAUGAGCUUGAUAUGGAU
Molecule: long non-coding RNA, 812 nt
Filed under: Helianthus annuus (common sunflower)
Lineage: Eukaryota; Viridiplantae; Streptophyta; Magnoliopsida; Asterales; Asteraceae
Source: RNAcentral